RNAcentral lists this long non-coding RNA (731 nucleotides) under Rattus norvegicus (Norway rat). RNAcentral's name for it is "long non-coding RNA NONRATT002003". The record is from RNAcentral. Lineage: Eukaryota; Metazoa; Chordata; Mammalia; Rodentia; Muridae.
GGGACACACUGGCUAGGGAAGUGGCCAUAUGCUCGCCCGAUUCUCCCAGCACCCGAGCCCUGGCCGACCAGAGAUGAGGACCACAAGAGAAGCCAGGCUGCCAGCAUGUGUCUUUAAGAAGGAACGAAAGCCUGCUUGGUGCCAGCGGCCCCAUUCAGCUUCUUCCUUCCCACAUGUGUGACCUACUGAGCCCCACACAUCAAUCAAGCUGCCAGCUGCUGCAAGGAGAAAGAUACAAGAUGGAAAUUGGCCUGCGGUAGAAUAUAAUUUCAACAGCCCUUUCACAUAGAAUUUUGACAGUGCUGGUGAAGGGAUCUAGAGUUUUAGGGAUGCUGGAGGAGUAUUGAACCAACCUGCACCUCUAUCCCGCCCCUCUCCUCUUAAGGUAAAAACAGUCUCCAUUAGACAGGUAGGUCUUGAACUCACUCUGCAGCCCAGGUAAGUUAAACUAGUGGCCACUCUAGUAGCUGGGACCCGAGGUGUGAACCACUCUACCGGGCUAGAACUUUGAUGCUCUUAGGUUUCAUACACAUCUUGAGAACCUUUUAGAGUAUAUCAACUGAUAUACUGAUAUAAGCCAUUUCUAUCAGGAAAUGGGGUAUAUUAAUACAUACUUCAAGUAUUUCUAAUUUGCAAGAUUAGAAAUAUUGUACAGAUCUAUGUAUAAAAGCAUACAUUUGGCUAAGUGAAAUUACCAGGUCUCUCUACAUAAUUAAAACUAAUUUUUUUUU